GACGAACGCUGGCGGCGUGCCUAACACAUGCAAGUCGAGCGAACAGACCCUGCGCUUGUUCCUUGCUCGUUAGCCGCACGCGUGAGAAACACGCGAGUAUACCGUCCUUAACUUUCGGGGAACACCUCGGGACAGGGGCGAUUACAGCGUAUGAUCUCCUGCAGCAUGUGGGUGGAUGGAGAGUUACGGCUGUUGUGGAUGGAAUCGCGGCGUAUCAGCCUGUUUGUAAGGUAACGGCUUAACAAGGCUAUGAAGGGUAGCCGACCUGAGAGGGUGAUCGGCCACACUGGAACUGAGACACGGUCCAGACUCCUACGGGAGGCAGCAGUAGGGAAUCUUACGCAAUGGGCGAAAGCCUGACGGAGCAACGCCGCGUGAGUGAUGAAGGUCUUCGGAUCGUAAAACUCUGUUAUUAGGGAAGAACAAAUGUGUAAGUAACUAUGCACGUCUUGACGGUACCUAAUCAGAAAGCCACGGCUAACUACGUG
RNAcentral lists this ribosomal RNA (488 nucleotides) under uncultured bacterium. RNAcentral describes it as "partial 16S ribosomal RNA". It matches the Rfam family "Bacterial small subunit ribosomal RNA", at positions 28 to 507 of the family's 1533-position model. The record is from RNAcentral.